RNAcentral lists this ribosomal RNA (766 nucleotides) under uncultured bacterium. RNAcentral's name for it is "bacterial SSU rRNA". It matches the Rfam family "Bacterial small subunit ribosomal RNA", at positions 1 to 815 of the family's 1533-position model. The record is from RNAcentral.
CUUAGAGUUUGAUCCUGGCUCAGGAUGAACGCUGGCGGUAUGCUUAACACAUGCAAGUCGAACGGUGUCUUCGGACAUAGUGGCGGACGGGUGAGUAACGCGUGAGAAUCUAGCUUCAGGUCUGGGACAACCACUGGAAACGGUGGCUAAUACCGGAUGUGCCGGAAGGUGAAAGGCUUGCUGCCUGAAGAUGAGCUCGCGUCCGAUUAGCUAGUAGGUGGGGUAAGAGCCUACCUAGGCGACGAUCGGUAGCUGGUCUGAGAGGAUGACCAGCCACACUGGGACUGAGACACGGCCCAGACUCCUACGGGAGGCAGCAGUGGGGAAUUUUCCGCAAUGGGCGAAAGCCUGACGGAGCAAUACCGCGUGAGGGAGGAAGGCUCUUGGGUUGUAAACCUCUUUUCUCAGGGAAGAACACAAUGACGGUACCUGAGGAAUCAGCAUCGGCUAACUCCGUGCCAGCAGCCGCGGUAAUACGGAGGAUGCAAGCGUUAUCCGGAAUGAUUGGGCGUAAAGCGUCCGCAGGUGGCUGUGUAAGUCUGCUGUCAAAGAGCAAAGCUCAACUUUGUAAAGGCAGUGGAAACUACACGGCUAGAGUGCGUUCGGGGCAGAGGGAAUUCCUGGUGUAGCGGUGAAAUGCGUAGAGAUCAGGAAGAACACCGGUGGCGAAGGCGCUCUGCUAGGCCGCAACUGACACUGAGGGACGAAAGCUAGGGGAGCGAAUGGGAUUAGAUACCCCAGUAGUCCUAGCUGUAAACGAUGGAUA